UGGGGAAUAUUGGACAAUGGGGGGCACUCUGAUCCAGCCAUGCCGCGUGUGUGAAGAAGGCCUUAUGGUUGUAAAGCACUUUAAGCGAGGAGGAGGGUACUGGUAUUAAUACUACCAGCUACUGGACGUUACUCGCAGAAUAAGCACCGGCUAACUCUGUGCCAGCAGCCGCGGUAAUACAGAGGGUGCGAGCGUUAAUCGGAUUUACUGGGCGUAAAGCGUGCGUAGGCGGCUAAUUGCGUCGGAUGUGAAAUCCCCGAGCUUAUCUUGGGAAUUGCAUUCGAUACUGGUUAGCUAGAGUGUGGGAGAGGAUGGUAGAAUACCAGGUGUAGCGGUGAAAUGCGUAGAGAUCUGGAGGAAUACCGAUAGCGAAGACAGCCAUCUGGCCUAACACUGACGCUGAGGUACGAAAGCAUGGGGAGCAAACAGG
RNAcentral lists this ribosomal RNA (430 nucleotides) under Pseudomonadota bacterium. RNAcentral's name for it is "Proteobacteria bacterium partial 16S ribosomal RNA". It matches the Rfam family "Bacterial small subunit ribosomal RNA", at positions 355 to 776 of the family's 1533-position model. The record is from RNAcentral. Lineage: Bacteria; Pseudomonadati; Pseudomonadota.